RNAcentral lists this ribosomal RNA (433 nucleotides) under uncultured bacterium. RNAcentral's name for it is "partial 16S ribosomal RNA". It matches the Rfam family "Bacterial small subunit ribosomal RNA", at positions 29 to 507 of the family's 1533-position model. The record is from RNAcentral.
AACGAACGCUGGCGGCAUGCCUAACACAUGCAAGUCGAACGAGACCUUCGGGUCUAGUUGCGCACGGGUGCGUAACGCGUGGGAACCUGCCCUUAGGUUCGGAAUAACUCCCCGAAAGGGGUGCUAAUACCGGAUAAUGUCUUCGGACCAAAGAUUUAUCGCCUUUGGAUGGGCCCGCGUUGGUUUAGCCAGUUGGUAGGGUAAAAGCCUACCAAGGCGACGAUCCAUAGCUGGUCUGAGAGGAUGAUCAGCCACACUGGGACUGAGACACGGCCCAGACUCCUACGGGAGGCAGCAGUGGGGAAUAUUGGACAAUGGGCGAAAGCCUGAUCCAGCAAUGCCGCGUGAGUGAUGAAGGCCUUAGGGUUGUAAAGCUCUUUUACCCGGGAUGAUAAUGACAGUACCGGGAGAAUAAGCACCGGCUAACUCCGUG